Molecule: ribosomal RNA, 429 nt
Filed under: uncultured bacterium
Lineage: Bacteria
Description: bacterial SSU rRNA
Rfam family: Bacterial small subunit ribosomal RNA
Source: RNAcentral
ACGAACGCUGGCGGCAGGCUUAACACAUGCAAGUCGAACGCCCCGCAAGGGGAGUGGCAGACGGGUGAGUAACGCGUGGGAAUCUACCGUACCCUACGGAAUAACGCAUGGAAACGUGUGCUAAUACCGUAUACGCCCUUAGGGGGAAAGAUUUAUCGGGGUAUGAUGAGCCCGCGUUGGAUUAGCUAGUUGGUGGGGUAAAGGCCUACCAAGGCGACGAUCCAUAGCUGGUCUGAGAGGAUGAUCAGCCACAUUGGGACUGAGACACGGCCCAAACUCCUACGGGAGGCAGCAGUGGGGAAUAUUGGACAAUGGGCGCAAGCCUGAUCCAGCCAUGCCGCGUGAGUGAUGAAGGUCUUAGGAUUGCAAAGCUCUUUCACCGAUGAAGAUAAUGACGGUAGUCGGAGAAGAAGCCCCGGCUAACUUCGU